UACGUAGGGUGCAAGCGUUAUCCGGAUUUACUGGGCGUAAAGAGUAUCGUAGGCGGUUUGACAAGUGAUUGGUGAAAGCCCCGGGCUCAACCCGGGAACUGCCAGUCAUACUGUUAGGCUAGAGUAACUUCGGAAAGAUUGGAAUUCUCGGUGUAGGGGUGAAAUCCGUUGAUAUCGAGAAGAACACCAAGGGCGAAGGCAGAUCUUUAGGAGUUUACUGACGCUGAUGAACGAAAGCUUGGGUAGCAAAAGGG
This 254-nucleotide unclassified non-coding RNA is filed under the name uncultured Patescibacteria group bacterium. RNAcentral describes it as "contains 16S-23S intergenic spacer region". It matches the Rfam family "Bacterial small subunit ribosomal RNA", at positions 524 to 776 of the family's 1533-position model. The record is from RNAcentral.